Molecule: long non-coding RNA, 32706 nt
Filed under: Lactuca sativa (garden lettuce)
Lineage: Eukaryota; Viridiplantae; Streptophyta; Magnoliopsida; Asterales; Asteraceae
Description: long non-coding RNA (LSAT_LNC002445)
Source: RNAcentral
UUCUUAGAAAAUAUUUAUGUUCAAAGGUUUUUAAAAAACUUAUUUUAUGCUUUUAUAUUAUAAAUUGCAUGCCUCUAUAUGUAUAGUUAUAUAAGAAAUGUUUAAAAGACUUAGGAAGGCUAUCCACCCUAUUUCCUUUUCGCGCUUGAGAUGUGGUCUGGUGGGAUAUCGGGUACUCGUCCGAAGGUCGUUUAAAUAUUAGUUAUAUAUCAUGUGUACAUAUAUAGUCAUAAAAGGUCCUUCCAGUUCAUCCCAUGCCCUUGGGUAGCAAGGGUAUACAUCCAUGUCCAUACGUACCAGUUAGAUUACUAGUAAACUACCAUAUGGGUAGUUUAGGAAGAUACUAGAACUAUUACUAGAACACAAUAUCAUACUAUGAGUCAGUUCAUUCAUGAGUCAAUACUUACUACUAUGAGAACAUAUACAACUAUACUAGAGAAGAACAUAUACAACUAUACUAGAGAAGAACAUAUACAACUAUACUAGAAAGAGAACUUAUACAACUAUACUAGAAAGAGAACAUAUACAACGAUACUAGAACGAGUACAUUAGUAUACUUGCUAGGUAGAGAGCACGUACAUUACAGCUAGACCAGUUCAUUACAUUACAUAUAUAUGAAUACGUUCACAUAAUUGUGAUCCACUGUAUCAGAGCAUGCCUUCAAUGUCAUGGCUCGAGUUGUUGCAAGAGUCUCUUGAAGGGAGAGCGUGAGUUUGCGUAUAGAUCUAUAUUGGAUUGACUAUCCUACACCUUGCUGCUAGCUACAGCCGGACCUGCAGGUCUGCGGGUGCCAAACGUCAUUCCGUUUUACGACCAUUCAUUUGUCGUUGUUUAUCCAGUCGAUAGUAUGGUACAAUUAAUCACAUGAUACCUUAAUAUAAAUCCGGUUUAAGGUAGUUAGUACAACAGUAGUUCNCAGUCAAUAGUAUGGUGCAAUUAAUCACAUGAUACCUUAAUAUAAAUCCGGUUUAAGGUAGUUAGUACAGCAGUAGUUCCUAUAAUACAACACUACAGUACUACAUUAAUUUCCCCUUUUCAUAUAUUUAGUGAUCAUUUCACAUAAACAUUUAAUGUAAAAACUAUAUUUUGAUAAUGAUAGUUACACUUGGGAAAAUUACACACUUUUACAAGAAACGAACAUUUAGAACAGUUAAGUCUUGGUAGAAGACUACAUUGAGAACAGUUAAGUCUUGGUAGAAGACACCUUUAUAUAAAGUAGGAAUCAUAGGGAUUUCUAGGGUUUUUCAAACUUUUACAGUUGUUUUACAAACAUUUUUAUACUUACAGUUCAUCUACAUUUUUCCAUACUUACAGUUCAUUUACAAACAAUUUCUUACAUACAAAUUAAGACACUAAAAUACUUAUGAUCUCACCUGCUUUAAAGUUGAUACUCUCUUUCAAAAUAACUUGUAUCCUCAAGUCAACCAUAGACAGGUACCGAUGCAAGGUUCAGGGAAGAUGGUGCUCGAUCAAGACGCAUCUUUCAUUUUGAUUUAUGCUUUAGUGUUUAUCAAAAUUUUACAGGACACACUUGUAUAAUAAUUCUAUUAUUAAUGCAAUGGAUGAUGUUGUUGCUUGUUUACUACUUUACAUUGUUGUGAUACUGUACAUGAUGUCCUCCGCCCCAGAACGUUUCCGCCGUUCCGGUUUUGGGGUGUGACAACCAAUGCACCUGUAGUGUUCAUGGACUUAAUGAACCGGGUGUGACGUCCUUACUUGGAUCAAUUCGUUAUUGUAUUCAUCGAUGACAUACUUAUCUACUCUUGUAGUAAGGAGGAGCAGAGUCAGCAUCCACGACAGAUCUUAGAAACACUACGAGCAGAGAAGCUCUAUGCGAAGUUCUCCAAAUGCGAAUUUUGGAUUUGAAGAGUCGAGUUAUUGGGUCACGUGGUUAGCGAAGAGGGAAUUCACGUGGGUCCUUCCAAAAUUAAGGCCAUUGAGGACUGGUCAGCUCUAAAGAUGCCUACGAAAACUCAUCAAUUUCUAGGCCUCGCUGGCUAUGAUCGCAGGUUUAUUCAGAACUUUUCAAGGAUUGUGAAACCACUUACUCCCUUGACCCAGAAACUUGCAGCCUUUGACUGAGAAGAGAAACAAGAGAAGGCAUUCCAAACGUUGAAGUGAGCCUUAUGCAGCGCACCGAUAUUAUCCCUCCCAGAAGGGAUAGAAGAUUUCGUGGUUUACUGCGAUGCAUCCAACCAAGGGCUUGGAUGUGUUCUUAUGCAAUGAGGAAAGGUCAUCACCUAUGCCUCAAGACAACUUAAGACACAUGAAGUCAACUACACUACACAUGAUCUUGAGUUAGGAGCAGUGGUAUUUUCUCUGAAGAUCUGGAGACACUACAUGUAUGGUACGAAAAGCACUAUCUUUACAAAACACAAAAGCCUUCAUCAUAUAUUCAACAAGAAGGAGCUUAACAUGAGGCAACAACGGUGGGUCAAGCUACUCAAUGAUUACGAAUGCGAAAUUCGUUAUCAUCCCGGUAAAGUCAACCUAGUAGCUGACGCCCUAAGUUGGAAAGAAUACUUAGGUCAUAGAGUCAAGGCAUUGACUAUGACAAUCCAUUCACAUAUGUCUACACAAAUUAAGGAGGCUCAGCUGCAAGCCUUGAAACCUGAAAAUGUGGCAGGUGAAUCCCUUAGGGAUGGAUAAGAACAUAGAAGUCAAGGGUAACAAAGCUCUAUACCUCAUGGAUCGGAUCUGGACACCGAAAAUAGGUGGUUUCAGAGACGUUGUCAUGAAGGUAGCACACAAUACUCGAUACUCCAUUUACCCAGGAUCAGAUAAGAUGUAUAUGGAUCUCAAAAAGUUAUAUUGGUGGCCUAACAUGAAAGCAGAGAUUGCUACCUUCGUGAGCAAGUGUCUUACUUGCGCCGAGGUUAAGGUUGAAUACCAAAAACCGUGAGGUUUACUACAAUAACCAGUGAUACCUAAGUGGAAGUGGGAGUAGAUUACAAUGGACUUCAUAACCAAGUUGCCCAAGACAACGGGUGGUCUCGAUACCAUUUGGGUGAUCGUAGACAGGUUAACUAAGCCCCCACACUUCCUACCGAUGAAAGAGACCGACAAGAUGGAGAAACUAACCAGACCCUACAUUAGGGAGAUUGUACGACUGCAUGGUGUUCCGAUAUCUAUCAUCUCUAAUAGAGAUGGUAGAUCACUUCAAGAAUCUAGAAGUUGCUACAAAAGUCCUUGGGAACUAGGCUGGACAUGAGUACAACAUACCACCCACAAACUGAUGGACAGAGUGAGAGGACGAUACAAACGUUGGAAGACAUGUUGCGAUCUUGUGUGAUCGACUUUAGUAAAUCAUGGGAUGCCCAUUUUCCUUUAGUCAAUUUUUCAUACACUGACAACUACCAUUCUAGUAGGGAUGAGCAUAUGACCCGUUGGACCGGACCGGACCGGAAAAAAACCGGGACCGGACCCGGACCGGACCGGAUAAUCAGAUUAGUGGGUCGGUUUUCGGGUUUUAUUUUUACCACUAUUCGGGCUUCGGGUUUGGACCGGACCAUACCCGGAAUACGAGAUUUAACCCGGACCGGACCGGAAAACAUUCUCACCUUAAUUCAUUUUGUACAUAUUUUAGAAUAUAGAAAUAAUAAUAUUGACUUAUUAGUUAAUGCUAUAAAGCUUUUAUUGAAUUAUAAAUUAUUGCUACAAAAAAGAAUGUAUCUAAUGUGAUUGCGUAUUAAAAUUAAGUACCACAUGUCUCACCAAAUUGAAUAUUCCGUAAUGUAUCUAUCGUAAUAUUAUUUAUUAGGCUUUUUUUCUAAAAAACAUGAACAUUUAUUUACUAUUAGUGUUUUUAGAAAUUGUGAGGCUCGUCCAUACGAGCGACAACUAAAAAAAAACCUUUGUGUGGCUCUUCCAUAGUUCACGGCAGUGAUAAUUAUUUUUUGGGUUCGGCCCUCUAGCUCUCCAUCCAUUCCACCGUUACAAAAAAAACGGUCCAAUUCGGUCUAAAACCCGAAACCUGGUUUAAUACCCGGAACCGGACCGGACCGAACCCGGACCCAAUACAUACAGAAACGGUCCGGUUUUUGGGUAAGGUAAUUCACAAUUUUCGGUCUUCGGGUUUUCGGUCUUCGAGCCGGUCUGGUCCGGGUCUUGCCCGUUGCUCAUCCCUACAUUCUAGUAUCAAAGUUGCUCCAUUCAAAGCCCUAUAUGGCCGGAAGUGCAGAUCCCCUCUAUGCUGGGCUGAGGUGGGUGACACACAACUAGCUAAAGGACGAGCUUCUGACAACACUCUCACGGGUCCAGAAAUCAUUCGGGAAAUUACAAAGAAGAUUGUUCAGAUUCGUGAAAGAUUGAAAGCCUUUAGAGACUGACAGAAAAGCUACACUGACAAGAGACGAAAACCGUUGGAAUUUCUGGUUGGUAACCUUGUUCUAUUAAAGGUCUCACCCUGGAAGGGCUGGAUACGCUUCGGAAAGCAUGGUAAGCUAAAUCUAAGAUACAUUAGGCCUUUUGAGAUUCUCGCAAGGAUCGGCCUUGUAGCUUACAGACUCAAAGUACCUCGAGAACUUUGUAAUGUACACCCUACCUUCCACAUGUCGAACCUGAAAAAGUGCCUAUCUGAUGUUAUCCCACUCGAUGAAAUCGAGAUCAAUGAGAGCCUCAACUUCAUGGAAGAACCAGUAGAAAUCAUGGACAAGGAGGUCAAGCAAACGAAACAAAGCCGUAUCCUGAUAGUGAAGGUUCGCUGGAAUGCAGGUGAGUUCAUACCCCUAUAAUUACACUUUUAAAUGCUUUUAAGGGGGAAUACAAGUAGAACACAACGCAAUUGUUUUAACCAUUUACAUGUGAAAACAACAACCAAAAGGAUUUCCUAUACUCAAAAACUUGUAAAAACUCUUUUAAACUAUUUUAAACAUCUUUUAUAUCAAAUCAUAUUCAACUAUCUAUUUACGUUUUAACAGACUUAGGACUACUGCUAGAUAUCUUGAUUACUAUUCCUUGUUAUGUUGUGGGCUUAGGGUAGGAUCACUAGUCCGACUGUCGGCUAAAUCAUAGUUAUACUUAUUAAAUACAUCUAUGAAUAUUAAACCCAUUUUUAAGGAUCAUACUUAACUUAGUUCCUUAUGGUUAGUAAUUGGGUCUUUUCUGCAAAUUAGUAUCAGUUCAAGCAAACAUACUAGUAAACUAUAAUAGGUAUAGUUUAGAGGUUCAUUACAUGCUAUUUCUAGAAUAGAGAAACAUACAUGAGUUGGUACAUUCAUAUCAUUACUAUACAUUACAAAACAUACUAUAACAAGAAUAGAAAGGAUCAUACAUACUAUAACAAGAACAUAAAGGAAUAUACAUUCUAUAAUAAGAACAGAAAGGAACAUUGUUGGGUAAAAAAUAUGGUUUAUACUUUGCUUUUCUAGGAAAAUAUAUUUUUUCUAUAAUAUAAUAUGUAAUAUUGUGGCUGUGUAUGGCUGGACAUGUGUGUGCGGCCGCACACCCUGUGUACGACCGCACACAUGUGUGCAGCUGUACACUCGUGUGCUGCUGGUGGCCCAUGUCUCAUCUAUAUAUAAGGUGAGGAGUGCAUGUGGGAGUGUACGGUUAGAAGAGUGAAAGGCUAGUGAAGAGAGAGAAAGUUAGAGAGAAGAAGUGUGUGUGAGAGAAAAUCUAUUGUAAGGAGCAUCAAUCAUAUCAUCAAUACAACAUUAGAUUCAUCUUAAUUCUUCUUCUCCUUCUCUUCUAUAUUGACCUGAAAUCAUCCAAUUGAUUGAGAUUCCGCACCAUCAAUUGGAUCUGAUUGAUACACAAGCAAUUUUGGGGACUUACAAACAUAUAUACUGUAACAAGAACAAGAUAACAAUAAUGCGAAACCACUAUUUCAUGGCAUAUCAAUUGGUGUUGUGUCACGUUUUGUAACCAGAGUCUCCUGGAGGGAGAGCGUGAGUUUGUAUAUAGAUCUAUACGGGAUUGACCAUCCUACACCUUGUUGCUAGCUAUAGUGGGACCUGUAGGUCUACGGGUGACAAAUGUCAUACCAUUAUCGACGUCUGAAGAAUGUCGUGUUUUAUACUAGUCCAUCAAGCAUGGUUAUAACAUAUUCAAAUUUUUACUUUAAUUAACAAUUUGGUUUUAAGGUAGUUAGUGCUUCAGUAGGUAUUUUAUACAACAUUACUGAACACCUUCAUUUUCCAUUAUAUUCAUACAAUGAUAUUCUCAGAUAAGAAAUACAUACUAUUUUUCAUGUAAAGAUAGUUUUACAAAUAUGGAAAACCCACAUUUGUACUAUUUCAAGUACAAACAUACAUUUUUACGAGAGAAUAAACAUUCAAAUCAGUUGAGUCUUGGUAGAAGACUACUUUCCAUUUUAGUAGAAAAUAUAUGAUUUUCUAGGAAGUAUACAAAUACUUACAUCAAAACACUUACAAACAUUUUCGUGAAAUAGAUGCAAACUUUUGACAGAAAAAUACUUAUGAACUCACCAGCUUAAAUGCUGAUCUACUCUUUCAAAAUAACUUGUAUUCUCAGGUCAUCAAUAGACAGGUACAUUUGCAUAUGUUUGAGAAGACGGAGCAGGAUCAAGACUCAUCUUUCAUUUUGAUAUAUAUAUUUUUGGUGUCUUACAACCAUACAUAGAACACACAUGUACAACCUAUAUUAUGAAUGCAAUGGAUGAUGCUGUUGCUUGUUUUACUAUUGUGCAUUGUUAUGAUACUGUACAUGACGUCCACAGCCCCCGAACGUUUUCGCGGUUUCGGUUUAGGGGUGUGACAUCAUCAAACAAAAAGGGUAUAAGUAUUUCUUACUUUUCAAUAUCAAGUUUUUUAAAUACUUCAUUUCAAAUUGUAACUUGUUUUCUAUACAUAUAUUUUAGGUGGGAAAAGGAAUUCAAAAUCAAGAUCAAAUUUGCAGCUAGAAAGGAUAUGAACCAUCUGAAACAAUUCUUAAGUGGUGGACAUCAUGAUAAUCCUUAUGAAACUAUACAAGCUCUUGAUGUUGUUCUAAGGGAUUGUUUACAAGAGUAACAAUUAAGUGUCAUAAUAUAUCUUUUCUCAUUAAGCUCUCAAUGGGAUUCUAACGGUUUUUACAUGGAUUGUUUGUAGGAGGAAAAAACUUGGUAGAUCAUUGUUUAGUACUGAGUUUAGGACAUAUGUUCUUGGUGAUGGUGUUGGAUUUUGGAAAGGGUUUUAUCAAACUCUAAAAGCAACUCAAAUGGGCUUUUCACUUAACCUUGGUAUGUAUUUGUAUUUGUAUAUAUUUUGAUUGUAUAUUUGUAUAUAUUUUAAUCAUCAGCCUUUCUAAAUUAAUAUAAAUCUUACAAAUUGAGUGCUUAACACAUUAAGCUCGGAAAGUAAAAAAAGCAACCCCUAAAAAUAGUAUAUAAAAAUAUUUCUAAUGUUUUUAUAUAAAAUAAUGUUUGUAGGUUCUAAAAACGCAAGGUGCAGCAAAAGCAAAAUGUUAUUCUUAUGUGUUGUAUGCUGACAGUGGGUACAAUAAGUAUUUGGAGAAGGUCUUCUCAUAUAAUUAUAUAUAUANNNNNNNNNNNNNUAUUAAACUUCACCUCCAACAUGAAUAGUGAACUGGUUGGAAAAAAUGGUCAUUUGAUUAUAAAAUUUUGGUAUAGGGGUAUUUUAUAUAAAAUAUUUUAUUCUCUGUCGUCCACAUGUUGGUCAUCGUGCCCGGUCUCUUAGUAUUUAAUGUUUAUCUGUUUUCGUUCUGUUCCAUUCACGAUACUUCCACCACCUCCCAAAUCGACUCUCCUGUCUUCUUCUACCCUUUGCUCCAUCCACCGCCAACCAUCGGUCUUGUAAUUGAAGCUUCAGGUCUUCAUACUUACAAUCGAUCAAAUACGGGGGUGUUUGACUUAACUUUUCAAACCCCAAAAGUUCUUUUUGAAAAAGUUACAAAAAGUCAGGAUUUCCUGACUUUUCCAAAAAGUUCAUUUUUCUUAUCUAAAAACUACGCUUUUAAAACUAGUUUGCCAAACAUCUUUUGUUUUUUUUUUGUUUUUUUGUUUUUUUGUUUUUUUUUUUUUCAAAAAAGGAUUUUGACCGUGAAAACCUAAAAAAAACCUAAAAAAAACCUAAGCCACCCUACGUAUUCCCAGAUACCCUUGCAAACUGACGAUCGGUGGUAUGCGGAGAUCGACGAAUCGAUCAGUCGACUUCUUAAUCACAAAAUCGUUACUUUUCUUCCGGUGUCGGAGGUCUACGUUCGUCAAAUGGUCUGCUGGAGACACUUGCAAAGUUCGUCAAAGGAAUUCCACUGUCGCGUUUUGGGUCUUUUUUGGUUCUUGCUUCACCGAUUUCCGUCUGCUGCCGCCAUUGAUUACUGAUUUGGGUAUGUGUUUGCAACUUACGCCUUCACUCUCUCCUAUUUGUGCUUGAUUUUGGACCAGAUGACUACAAAGAUGUGAUUUUUAAUUUAGGUUUGUCAGAAUCUCUCACACCAGAUUGUUUGUUUGCUUUUUUUUUCCAUCGGUUGGUGCUAUAGGUAAAUGGAAUCCACAAUUCUUCAAUACCUUUUAAACUAACAAAGCUCAGUUUUUCUUUCUAUUUGGAGUCGACUCCAAUUGACAGGGAACGAAGUAGCUUUUGUUUGUUUGUUUGUUUGUUUUUUUUUUUUUUUUUUUUUUUUUUUUUUGUUUUUUCAUAUUCUUCCUUCAGUUUCGACAACGGAUUUUAAUGUUUCCAUUGUCGGUUGUUCUGUUUUGGUAAUCCUCCUCUGUGUUUCUAUUUAUGUUAUCGAAAUUAUAGUUCUUUAUUGACAUCAACAUUAUGAAUUUUGUUGAGUGUUUGAUGUUGGAUUUUGUGAUAUAAUUAUGAAGGAGCGUGAAAUGGAGAUUGGGUACCCAACAGAUGUUAAACAUGCUGCUCAUAUUGGCUGGGAUGGAUCAUCAAGCAGUGCUCCUUCUUGGGUAAUUUGGUAAUUUUACUGUUUUCUAUCUCCCCUUUUCUUGAAAGUUAAUUUCUUUUUUGAAAAAUUUCAGAUGAAUGAGUUCAAGACAACCCCUAAUUUUGCAGCAACUGCCAUUGGAAAUUCUGCUUCUGGUCUGUCUGCCUGGUCUUCUCAAGGUAUUUUAAUGGUUUUUAUUGGAAAUUGAUUAUUGUAUAUCAUUAUAUUUAGUUAUUUAUUAGAAAUCACUAAUCAUUAAAUCGAAAAUUUUCAAUAAAAACCAUUUUUUGAAGGAAAGUACAAAUUGUUUUUAAUUGUUUGCAAUUCGAAUAUAAUGAUAAUCCAUUUGCAAGGAAAUUGAUUAUUGUAUAUCAUUAUAUUUAGUUAUUUAUGGGUUUUUUUGACAUUUGUUGAUUGAAUUUAAUAAUAAAGACCCUUUUUGGUAGCAACAAUCUAAAUAAGCAUGUAAAGUAGUAACAGUUUCUGAACAACACUUUAAUUCACCAUUAAAAUAAGUCAAUUCUAACAAAAAAAACUGUAUACAAGGGCAAUUUGGUCAUAAAAACAUGUAUGUGUGAUUAGCCCAAAGCAGGAGCAGAUUCGUCUUAAAAUGAUCAGGUGAUAUUUUUUUGACCAACAGAUGCUGGUUACUAACCGGUUAGAUUUGACAAAAUGGUAAACUUGGUUGUUUUUUUUUUUUAAUACAAAUAUAUAGUUAGAUCGUGUUUUUUAAACAAACAAUGAUUUGUUGGUCUUUUUUGAAUGUUUUUAAAACUUUCUUUGCUCUAUAACUCAUUUUCCCUAUCUUAUUCCAACAUGUUUGAUUUUCUAAUAGGUUCGAAAAUCUGGAAGGAAUCAACUCCAAAAACCUCGAAAAAACCACCAUUGUUCUUGGUUCCAGGUUUUGUGACUCCUAACAACUUUUUUCGUCAAUCUUAUUAAAAAAAAUCUCACUUAAUUGGUCUGAGAAACAUGACAGUAGCAUUUAGCCACGGUAGAAUAGAAAUUUACUUUGCAUUUUUGUUGUUGGCAACUGCUGCUAUGUUACUAUCCCCUGUUUCGCUCUGCAGGGUUAAGGUGGUUCUUUCAUCCUUUUUUAUUGUUUUCUGGUUAUAUGUUUUGUGUGUAAUCUAUAUCUAAUCACACAAAUCAUGAGAAAAUUAUGGCAUAAUGACCUAUGAAAAGUUGUUUGAUUGUUUGAAGUAAUGAUUGAAAUACCAAUUUACCUUUUGUUUGGAUAUAUAUUUGGUUACCACUUCUUUUUUAGUUGGUAUUUAUUCUCUCUUUCUAUACGAAUGUGUAUUUAUGAAUGAAUGUUGUGUAAUAUGCAGAUUUGUGAACUGUGAAGGCACUACUGAUUAUCUCUUUGGUUGAUAGAAAUGACAGUGAUAGAGUUGUUGAUGCAAUAGAUGAGUUGCAUAGGAUGUUGGAUGUUAUCUGUUCGGUAGAAUCAAUUUGAAUGUAUUGAAGUGCAUUCCACAAUCAUAAUGUAUUGAACUGCAUUCCAUAAUCAUGCUUGGUUGAACUAUAGGAAUGCCUUAAACUUUUAUAUAAGUUUUUAUAUUUUAUGUAAAUACAAAUGUUUUCUGUCGAUAACAAGCAGCAAGUGGCUAAAAAGAUAGGAGCUGUCUAAAUCUAUCCCCAUAUGUUUUCCCGUGUAUACUGUUUAACAGGUUUCACCCCAUAUGUUCUAUUCCGGUUAAAAUUGAAUAUCAUUUUCGCAAGUUAAUUACUUUUAAGACCAUUUACUGCUGGAAAUCUAUCAAAAUUCUUACAUACACUGUAUUAUUUGUUGCUAUAAAUAGUCAAAACAACUAAAAGUCUAGGCUUAAGAUGAAUGAAACAAAUACCGGUUAAAAGGAUCUUCGCACACGUUUUGUUCCGAUUCCAGUUUAAAUGCGUGAUCUUUUAACAAUGGACACUCCUAUUUAACAAGUUUGGCCACAUAUGUUGUACUCCGGUUAAAAUUGAAUCUCAUUUCCGCAACUUUAUUACUUUUAACACCAUUUACUGUUGGAGAUCUAUCAAAUUUGUUACGUAGACUGUAUUAUUUGUUGCUAUAAAUAGUUAAAACAACUGGAGCCAUACUACAAUAGCAACAUACUUUACUACUCUUAACCGAACCCGCGGAGCGCGGUUUCCCAACUAGUUUUUAUUGUAAAGGUAUAUAAAAAUUGUUCUAAUCAUUUUUAGUUAUUUAAUUGUUUUUGUAAAUAACUAAUAUUGUUAUCCUAUAAUUUGGUAAAUGGCAAAGCUAUUUCCACUUCGGAUAUAAAAUGGGCUAUCCUCCCAGGCAUUACAAGAAAGCGUAUUAUUGAUGUAGCUUGUGAUGAAUGAUUCCAUGUACUUCAAAUGUCUAAAAUACCCUUUUAAUAAUAAUAAUAAUAAUAAUAAUAAUAAUAAUAAUAAAAUAUUGGAAGAAUAACAUAAAAUAUCUUAGCUCUCAACUUUUAGAAGAAGGAUAACAUUAAAUAAUAUUUAAAAUCAUAUGUUCCUUACUAAUACCUUAUUGUGUUAUAUGUAUUUUAUUACUACUCAUAAUAUAUACUUUAAUCUGAUUAUUGAUUAUGUUUUGUCUGCUUUAGCAAUUUGCAGCUUGUGAAGAAGCUGGAGUUUUAGUUAUCAUGUGGUUGCAACUCAUAUAUCCGUUAAAUCACCCAACAACGACUAAUAUAGUUUUCUUAAUAUAAUAAAUGAAAAUGGAUAGAUUAAAAAAAAAUUGAAAAUAUAACUAGUGGCGGUUGUGAUUCCUAUCAUAAAGGUCUAUUCACAUGGUUUUGGUGAGUUUAUAAAACUCUUUGAUCGAUUAGAUCUUUAAAACAGACGAAUAAAGAAAGCAAUAACAGUUAAACAAAAACACAAGUAUCGAUCUGAAAGAGUUGAAUGAUUCAAUUAACUCAAUCCUCAGCAGAGCUCGAUAAAGUACUUCCGCUGUCGAGGAUUCUAGGGUUACAGAUGAUAAGAACGUGUACGCUAUAAAAUCUCUAUCAAAACAUUACGUUCCAGAAUGCAUGCAAACAUCUUUAUAUAAUAAACCCUAUACGAAACUCACGGAUGGACAGACCCAUACCGGAGACAAAACUUGGACUAGCUAACGAGCCCAAAGACGCAACACUAAACUGGACCUAACAAUCUCCCCCUUUGCAUCAAUUUGGAGUGUGACUAUCAUUUCUUCUUGCUCGGACCAGCUGCCGGAACCUUCUUGGUUGUAUCAAACAGACGAGAGAUAAGUGCGAGAAUUGUCUGUCUGAAGCGAAUGUACCAUUGAAUCAUAUCAUCAAAGUACUUCUUGUCAUCCGCUGAAUUCUGCUUGCACCGACGAAUGAUCCCUAAGACGUGUUCCAGACAUGCAAUGGUGUAGAGAUGUUUGUCAGCCAAAGCGAAUAGGCAUUUUUGGCCUUCGUUUUUGGUAAACAUAACUGAAUUUCUCUUCAGGUUUAUCUUCCCCAUCUGCAUCAUGUUAAGAUCACUGGCAGAGCCAACAAGAGAUAUUGUAGGCUUUUUCUUGAAUACACUCGCUAUCUCCUGAUCCAUCUUGGCGACUUCCAUGAUGUAACAAACAAGCAUCCUCUUGAAGUGGUUGAUGAUCGGACCAUAUUCUGCUUCAUUAGUAAGAAGGAUGUUGUGCAAAAUAAUCCAGUUGUGUGGAUUCAAGUUGGGAAGAUCAGCAAGCGAGAUGGCAUGUUCAGUCUUGGCAGAUCCUCUCAGCACCUUAAACCGAACGUUGGUGAAGUUUCCUUCCCUAUACGGCUUUAGAACCCGAACAUUGACAAUCUUCUGAGCGCUCCAUGUUUGAUACUAUGGUUGAGCGGCCCUUAGAUAGAAUUCGACUAAGUCCCUGUCAACCUUUGGAUGAGGAUGAGGGAACUCAACAAUGUUGUCAAAGGCAUGAAAGACAAAUGCCAUUCGGGUCAGUGGCAUGUCGAACUGAGAAUCGACAGAAUUAUCACGAUCAAGUGAGAUCACUGGUUCUAGCCACAAGAUGCUUGGAGUUUCGAUGGCUUCUUUCAAUAACUUCUCAAGAGUCCAAGGAGGAAAAAGAGUUUUCCUGCUCUCGAGAAGGUCGUGAGCUUCUUUCUGUUUUCGUUCAGCUUCUUCAGCCUCUCUAGCAACCCGAGCGCUAAUGUCAACGUCCUUGUCUCGGCCUUGCUUUUUCAAAAGAUCGGCAAUGGNUGUCAUCAUCGCUCUCUUCAGCAAUUUGCUUGCCCUUGUCUUUAACACCCGAACCUGAGGCUUGGCCUGUAGGAGGAGGUUCGGUUGUUUUGGUUGUUGUUGAAGUAGGAGGCGGUUGAAACACAUUUUCGUUUUCUCCCCCUUGUUUCGGAAUGGACACGAAAGCAAGGAGCCCUUCAAUCUUGCUCAGGAGAGAAAGGGCAGGAGCAAGUUUUUCUGCAAGAUCUCGCCUCACAGAAUAGUUGUGUAUCGGGUCAUGUGCUUCUAGGAUGUUUGAGAUGGCUGCGUGGACAUCCGAAACACAUGAAGACACAAUCUCUCUUUCAGAUCGAAGAGAGUCAAUCUCCUUUUGAGAAUUGGAGAGUUGAAUACUCUUGACCUUAACUUAUAAAUUAGUNNNNNNNNNNNNNNNNNNNNNNNNNNNNNNNNNNNNNNNNNNNNNNNNNNNNNNNNNNNNNNNNNNNNNNNNNNNNNNNNNNNNNNNNNNNNNNNNNNNNNNNNNNNNNNNNNNNNNNNNNNNNNNNNNNNNNNNNNNNNNNNNNNNNNNNNNNNNNNNNNNNNNNNNNNNNNNNNNNNNNNNNNNNNNNNNNNNNNNNNNNNNNNNNNNNNNNNNNNNNNNNNNNNNNNNNNNNNNNNNNNNNNNNNNNNNNNNNNNNNNNNNNNNNNNNNNNNNNNNNNNNNNNNNNNNNNNNNNNNNNNNNNNNNNNNNNNNNNNNNNNNNNNNNNNNNNNNNNNNNNNNNNNNNNNNNNNNNNNNNNNNNNNNNNNNNNNNNNNNNNNNNNNNNNNNNNNNNNNNNNNNNNNNNNNNNNNNNNNNNNNNNNNNNNNNNNNNNNNNNNNNNNNNNNNNNNNNNNNNNNNAGGUUUGGUAGUUGGAGUGGGUUCGGGUGCUGUAGUAGGAGCCCCCGUAUCAGAUACGUUGGUUCUUACUUCAGCGGUUGUGGUGGUUGCUUCUGUAAAGAUGGGUGGGGGUACUGGGAUGGAGGUAGGUGGUAUUUGAGUGGUGGAGGUUAUGGGGGGAAUGGAAAAAGGAAUGGUAACGGGUGGAGAAGAGAUAGGUGAAGUGGAAAAGUGAACUUCUGGGGUAGGCGAUCGUGGAGGAGUGUUGCCACGAGGAGACUCAUCAGAGUCUGAAUUAUCUUCCUCAGAUUCGCUUGAGGAGGAAGCGAUUAUCAGCUUUCGCCUUGGUUGGGUUUUUCUCUUCUUCAGCGGAGGAGACUGAACAGUCUGUGUAGUUUUACGCUUCUUGGGAGAAGGGCCUUUCGCUCCCUUGCCAACCUGCUUGUCUUUGCCUUUGUCAUUCUUCUUUCCCCUUGGAGCAGGCUUGUCGGCUUCAUGGAUGGACUUGAGCAUCUCAGGAGUAAGCUCUCUAGGACCAGAGCGACGAAACUCCUUGUAGGUUUUAAUGAUCCAGCUGUCGGCAGGAACAUCUCCAUACAUCGACUCAGGGAUAGAGCCAAUGAAUUGAAACUUGGAUGUGUCGGAGACAAUGAUCUUCGUGGUAUGGAAAGUACCAAUCGAAGACAUUGGAGAACCAGCAACAAUGGGGACGUGGUACUUGUCCAUCACCCAUUUUGUGACGAGAGUCCAGAAACGAGCAUAGGAGAUCUCGGAAUGCCGAGAAGUAGAAGCCAGACUCUGAAUAAGCUGCUGCCAUAGGACCGACCCAUAGUCCAGGUUGAUACCAUUGUAGACCCCAUAGAGAAGCGUGAUGAACAGAAGACUUGCACCGUCUGACCCAGCACUGCAUUCAGAUAGACCCUUGAACAGUACAGUAAACAACCCAUUCCACUGAGGAGGCAGGCACGAUUUCUUGAACUUCGUGACCGUUGUCAGCACCUCAGUAUACCCCAUGUUGUAGAACAUAGAGAACAUGUGACCCACCGGAAUCAAUUCAAGGUUAACCCUAGAUGAAUCAGGUUCAAACCCAAAAAUUGAGCAGAAUCGUUGCUUGGAGAUUGAAGCCUUGUGAUCAAGCACGUCGAAGAAGAUCCUGUCGACUGACUUGUCGUAAUGAGCAGUGGCGAAAAUCUGAGAUAAGAACUCCAUAGGAACUGCUUCAGCUUUGGUGAGUGCAGGAGCAAGUGGCGAGUACUUGAGGCAUUCGAUUAUCGGGAACAUGAAGGCAUCAUAGACCUGAGGAGUAAGAUCGAUGAUCAAACUCUGUUGGGGACGAAUCGGCAGGAUGUGGGAAGUGGCAUGAACUGAUGAUGAAUUCGCCAUUGUUGUGAAGAAGUUGGGAGAGAUGAUGAACAGUAGAAUACAUGAAGAAUUUCUUGCUCUCUGAUUUUUUGGGUGCAGUAAAGACAUAAACAAGGGUUGAAGUUACCUUUUAUACUGUGGGUACAGGAGAGAGAAGAAUCUGUCCCAAAUCUUCGAGGGAAAUACGAAGGGUUUUUCGGAAGUGAUUGAUGCGUGACAGUUGGUAGCACUGAUGAUUACGCAUGAGAGAGAGUGCCAGUCCCGAUUCACACGCCUUCCCAUCAGGCGCCGUUUUUAAACGAAACGGUUCCACUUCGCACGCCUGGCCUUCAAGCGCCGUUUGAAAAUCAAAUCGAUUGGACUCCCGCCUGAGUCAGCAUCUUAUCCUUUUAGAUUAAACGUCAUCUUAAAGCAAAAUUGACCACGUGGAUCAAUAUUAACCACAACUCCCUUAUAACUGCAAAUCCCAUUUAAAAAUUAUGCCUUGUAAAAGAAAAAGAAAUAAAGGAUCCCGGGCACGAAUGAUACAAAAGGUUUACAACCAAAGAAACUACAUUUGAGUAAAAGAAAAAGAAAUAAAGCAACACAUAUGAGGGAUUUUGUGAUGUUAGUAAAGACACGAAACAAAGGAUCCCGGGCACGAAUCUCUUCCUUCAAAGUCAAGAGAUACUUUAAAGUGUUUGUAUGGUUUCCCGUUGAAUAACGAUCAGACACUUAUUGAGAAGUGUUGAAAGGCUUCUUUUAAUCAGGCUAAUUUGGGUGGCUUUCGCUUCAAUUCAGAAUUCCUGAUCUUGAUAUAAGACAGAAAUCGAACGAAGUACUUGUGAGACCAAUGCAGUCUGUUGAACAAGUAGGUUUGAAAUAAUUUGAGUGGCUAGAUAAAAUAGUUUAUGUAAAAUCUCAAAAAAUUUAAAACUGGAUUCCAAGGGAAGAAAUGUUAUAGGACUUAACAAUUUCAUAGGAAUCACACAAAAGAAAAUUAGAGAUUUGACUUUCCAUCCUCAUUGAUAAAUCCGUCAAUUCGUUAGUGAAAGCUUAGAGCAAAAUUGAUUGUUCACCGUCAAUGCAUAGUAGGUAUUGAAUUGUGGGUUUCACUUAGUACGUAGUGACACGAAGCUAAGAUCAUAAACACAGAAAUUGUGUAACCAUAAACCUCAGUGGUAAUUUCUGAGAGUCUCAAGGGUUACGUUUAUGAAGCGAAUGAGAUGGAGAAAAGUAGUGUAGAUGGUGUAAAGAAACCAAAGUACCUCUGCUGUUAAAAUAAGGACCAAGCAGAAAACUCUUAUCUCAUGUGAGAAGAGAGUCAGGUAGCUCAUGAUUAGAAUAAAUAUGAAAGCCUAAUUGGGAAGACAAGGUUUGUAUGUACCAAGUCAGUAAGGCUAUUAUUCAGAAUCAGGUGAGGCUUUGGACACAUACAGCAGCAUGCUUCUAGGGACACUUAACUAAUGAAAUAAUUCCCCACAAAUAUCCACACAAAAAUAUAAGACACAAAACAAAAAUUAUCGAACUAAUAAUAAAAAAAAUGUUUUUGGAGUUUUUGAUUAAAAAAAAAAAUAAAAAGAUUUUAGAAUUUUUGAUUAAAAAAAAAUUGAGACACAAAUUUUUUUUGGAUCCGAACCCGAGAGUUCGGUCUAUUUCGGCAAAAAAAAAUUUGGAACCGAACCCGAUCGUUCGGUCUAUUUUGGUUGCAAAAAAAAUAAGUUUGAAAAAGAAAAGAACUUUGAAAAUAAGUGAAAUGAAUUUGAGAAAAUGAUACAAAAGGUUUACAACCAAAGAAACUACAUUUGAGUGAUAAGCGAAGAUCAGAUGAUAGGACCGAACCCGAGCGUUCGGUCUAUUUCGGCACACAUGUGAACCGAACCCGAACCUUCGGUUCAUUUCGCUUCCGACUUUUAAUUUUGAGAAGUAGUUUUUGGUACUGAAUUUGAUUCCAUCAUACCUAGCCCUUGUAGAAUUUUAUUGAAAGAUGCUUCAUGAAGAGCUUUGGUGAAGAUGUCAGCCAGUUGAUCAGUGGUUCGAACAAAGUGAAUUUCGACGUUCCCAUCUUCCACAUGAUCUUUAAUGAAGUGAUACCUCAGUGCUAUAUGCUUUGUCUUGGAAUGUUGCACUGGGUUAUGACAGAUCCUAAUUGCACUUUCUGAAUCGCAAUAUAGUGGGAUCUUUUUCAUAUUGAGUCCAUAGUCCCGGAGCUGGCUUUGGAUCCAAAUCACUUGAGAUGUACAGGAGGCUGCUGCGAUGUACUCUGCUUCGGCUGUAGACAGAGAAACACAUGUCUGUUUCUUUGAUUGCCAGCUAACCAACUUCCCAUCUAGGAAUUGGCAGCCUCCAGUGGUGCUUUUCCUGUCUAAACCACAACCUCCAAGGUCUGCAUCUGAGUAGGCUUGAACGAAGAAACCUGAGUUUGAUGGAUACCAUAAACCGAGAGAGGUGGUUCGUUUCAGAUACCGGAGUAUGUUUUUCACUGCAAGCAUAUGUGGUUCACGAGGAUUCGCCUGAAAUCUAGCACAGUAACAAACAGAAAACAUUAUAUCAGGCCUGCUAGCAGUAAGGUACAUUAAAGAACCAAUCAUCUGGCGAUAUAACGUAAUAUCGACUGCCGGUUUUUCCAAGGAUGGUGUGAGCUUGGUGCCGAACGCCAUUGGAACUUUGACCUUUGAGUCUCCCAUCAUGCCAAAUUUAGCAAGAAGAGUCUUGGUGUAUGCUUCCUGGUUGAUAAAGAUGCCUUCGGGUCCCUGUCUAAUAUUUAAACCAAGGAAAAAGUUAAUCGGACCCAUUGAGCUCAUUUCAAAUUUAGUCUCCAUCAGCUUUCUGAAUUCAGCUGUUAAGCUAGGAUUCGUUGAGCCAAAGAUGAUAUCAUCGACAUAGAUUUGAACAAUCAUAAGGUGGUUACCUUCCUUCUUACGAAAGAAGGUUGGGUCAACCGAACCUUGUUUGAAUUUUGACAUCUUUAAAAACUUGGUUAGCGUUUCAUACCAUGCCCUAGGUGCUUGUUUCAGACCGUAAACCGCCUUGUCCAGAAUAUAACAGUGAUUGGGGUACUUUUCAUUAACAAAUCCAGGAGGUUGCUCCACGUAAACUGUUUCUUCAAGUUCUCCAUUCAGAAAGGCGCAUUUCACGUCCAUUUGGUAGACCUCGAAGUUCUUGUGUGCAGCAUAGGCCAGAAAUAUUCGAACAGAUUCCAGCCUCGCUACCGGAGCAAAAGUUUCCUCAUAAUCAAUUCCUUCUUCCUGGCAGUAUCCUUUCACCACGAGACGAGCUUUGUUUCGAAUCACAUUGCCUUCCUUGUCCAUUUUGUUUCUGAAUACCCAUUUGAGACCAACAACUGAGGCAUCUUUAGGAGUUGGAAUGAGGCGCCAUACCUUGUUUCUUUCGAACUCGUUGAGUUCAUCUUGCAUAGCUUGAACCCAGUCAGAAUGAUCAAGAGCAGUAUUUACUGUCUUCGGUUCAACUUUUGAUACGAAAGAAUUAUACAUGCAGAACUCUACUUUGGAGAAUAGAGAUGUUUGCUUUGCCUUCAGUUGAGAUCGGGUGAGGACCUUUUCAGAGACAUUACCCACUAUCUGAGAUACAGGAUGAUCUCUGGUCCAUUUAACAAGAGGAGGGUAAUUUGGAUCAUAGGAUGGAUCCAAUUCAGCGUUGACCAUUUCUUCCAAUUCAGAUUGACUAUCGUCGUCGUAGAACAUAUCGGAGUUCUCCCCCUCGACUGAUGAGCUUUCAGGUGUAGCUGGACUUUCUGGUGCUACAGGACUUUCUGGUGUUGUCGAGCUUUCGGGUGCUGAAGGGCUUUCGGGUGCAGUUGAGCUUUCGGGUGGAACUGGAAUAGAAUUCUCCCCCUCAAUUUGUGAGCUCGGUUGUUUUGAAGAAGGUGGAUUCUCCCCCUCAACUGAAGCACCUUGCUCAGGAGGUUCGUUUGGAACUUGUUCUCCUUCACCCAUUCGUUUGGCGGCAUCUUCGACAAUUUGCUUCAGAUGGUCGACUUUGUUGUCUGCUGCCUUGGCUUCCGAGAGAGUAGCUUUCUCAGGUUCAUCGAAUAAUUCCACAAACUGAUCGAACAGAUUAGCAAUCGAGGCCGUGACUUGACCUGUUUGAGUGAAAAUCUCUCCAAUUGUUUCUUCAGUAGCUUUUAGCUUUUUGACGUAGUUAUCAUCGAAAGUCACAUAAUAUGUUUCUUCGAUCUUCCUAGAGCGCUUAUUUAAGACCCGGUAAGCUUUUGAAGUAAGAGAAUAUCCCAGAAAAAUUCCUUCAUCAGCUUUAACGUCAAACUUGUUACGAUGUUCUUUGGAGUUGAAGAUGAAGCAUCGUGAGCCGAACACAUGGAAGAAUUUUACGUUCGGCUUCCUGUUAUUGAUGAUCUCAUAAGGAGUAAGAGAGAAACGCUUGUUGAGAUAAGACCUGUUCUGCGUAAAACAUGCUGCAGCAAUAGCAUCAGCCCAGAAAUAUAAAGGAAGAGAAGCGAAACUUAGCAUCGUUCGGGCCGCCUCACACAAGGAUCGGUUUCGUCUUUCAACAAUUCCGUUCUGUUGAGGCGUAUAGGGAGCUGAGAAGUUGUGACUAGUUCCUUUUUCUGCCAAAAAGUCUUCAAAUUCUUUGUUCUUGAACUCCAGUCCAUUAUCGCUCCUGAUGUUGCGAACAACUUUUCUCAGUUGCACUUCAACCUGCUUAAUAAACAUCUUUAGCUUAGGAGUAGCCUCAGAUUUGUGCUUCAGAAAGAAUACCCAUGUAAAACGUGAGAAAUCAUCAACAAUAACAAGAAUAUACUUGCUACCGCCAAUGCUUUCGAUAGAUGAUGGACCACACAAGUCAAUGUGAAGCAACUCAAGUGGUUCAACAACUUUUGUGUUUAUAAUGGAUGGGUGACUUUGACGACUUUGCUUCCCCAUUUCACACGCAGCACACAAAUGUUCUCGAUCAAACUUGAGCAAUGGGAGACCCCGAACAUGACCUCCUGUGACAAGCUUGUUGAUGUCUUUGAAGUUGAGAUGUGAGAGCCUUCGGUGCCACAACCAGCUUUCAUCAGAAUGAGCUUUGGAUAAUAGGCAUAUAGCUGGAUUUCCUUUGAUUGGUUUGAGAUUGAGAGGAAAAAUUUCACCUUUGCGUUCUGAUUUGAGAAUUACGCUUUUUGAUUUCUUCUCUAUGAUUUCUGAACCUUCAUCAUCAAAUGAAACUUUGAGACCGGUGCCUCCUACCAGUUGAGACACACUGAUGAGAUUAUGCUGUAGACCUUCAACAUACGCCACCUUUUUCUUAUUGUGAAGUCUCCAUUGGUUAUCAUCCCAUAGCCCUUUAUCGUUCCAUAAGAAUUGUUGCCGAACUUGACAUUCCCACCAUUCUGAAGAGAUCGAAACUCCCUUAGCUCCUCCUUCCUCCCUAUCAUGUGACGUGAGCAGCUACUGUCAAUGUACCAUUCUUCGUCGAACUGCUCGUCACUUAUAACCUGCAAAAAUUAAGUAGAUUUAGGAACCCAAAGUUUCUUGGGUCCACGUGAGCCUUUCACAGGAACAUGAAUAGCAAGAGAAACAUCAAUAAGAUAUGUUCUUUUUAUUAAUGUUGUUUCAUCUUUUCUUUUAAUGGUAAACACUUUGAUUUUGUUAGGAUUAGCAACAGUGGGUUUGGUUUCAGGUUUUGGUGUUUGGGCUUUAGACUGCUUUCGGUCUUCCUGGACAGAGGAAAUCUUCGAUUUUCCUUUCAGGUUCAUUGAUGAUUUAGAAUUUUGUGCUCGAACAGAAUUGGGUUUAGAAGAUAAUUGAGAACUAGAAGAAUUAGAAUGUGAAUUUCUUCUGACUUGCGGUUCGAACCUGGACGUUCGGUAGCUAUUGCUUUCGGGACCGAACCUGUCCUUUCGGUUGCUGUUUGAACCGAACCUGUCCUUUCGGUUGUUGUUGCUCUCUGAACCGAACCUGUCCUUUCGGUUGAUGUUGCUCUCUGAACCGAACCUGUCCUUUCGGUUGUUGUUGCUCUCUGAACCGAACCUGUCCUUUCGGUUAUGUUCCUCAUGUGGCCCGAAAGCCUUUCUUUCUGACUUUGAAUUUCUAUCAUGAUAAGAGAAAUGAUUGUUUUGAGAGCACCAAAACUGCUUUCGCUCAGAGAGAUUCUUUUUGUAUCUUAGGUUUCUUUGCUGCUUUUGAUCUUUCACUUGUUUCCGCUGUCUGUGGAUGUUGGCCUUUUGUUUCAGCUUCUUGUCAGCCGGUUCACUUUUCACAGAUGAUGUUUCGCUUGUGGAAGUGACUUCUUCUACAGGUAUUUCUUUUGUACCACUUGUGCUUGGCACGUCAAAGUUGUCAGGCUUGUUCAGCGGCUCUGGUACAUAUCUUCCUUUUGUUUUCCAGGACGUUCGCUCUGACAAACCAACUGUUUCGUCGGCAUUAUCUAUAGGAGCAGACCAAAAGAACUCAUCACAGCCAUCUGCGUUAUCUUCGUUCACUAUGGCAGUGAGUUCGGCUGUUUGAUGCUCGGCUACUCCUGUGACCUUAUACACCUGAUUUGGUGUUGUUCUCACCUUUUGGUACACAACAACCUUUUCUUCAAGAAUCGGGGACUUAUUUUGGGACAAACGAGCGAACUCCACAGAAUUUUCAGAAAUAAGAUUUUUGUGGUUUUCGGGUUCGCUCUUGACAAACUCAGAACAGUCGACUACAUCCUCUACAGAAAUUUCACUCAUAUCAUCGUCCUCAUUAAGUUCAGAUGCGUUUUCAACAUCAAUUUUAUUUUCUGAACUUAAAUUGGCACUCAAUGAGUCGAAUUUUUGUAUGGUUUCGGUCCUUAGUUUCAGCUUAUCGUUUUCAUCCAAAAGAUUUUUCAGCAUGUCCUUAUGGUCUUUGGACUUUAUAAAAGAUUCUAUUUUGUCCAGACCAUACAUAUAAGUAGGAUUCACAUCAUCAGACGAUACAACACUUUCACAGUUGUAUGCUUCAGCAUCGAUUUCAUCCUCCUUAAACUCAAGGAAGGGUAAAAUCAUGCGAUGUAUUUUCUGCCCUAUUUCACAAUUCAGAUGCAGUUGAGUAAUGUUAGCAUAAAGUCUUUUAGCAAUCAAACAAAAAACAUUUCUUUGUUUUAAAAGUUUCAAAUUGUCUCUUUGUAAAUAAAUGUUUUCAUCCUUAGACUUAAUCAGCUCCGACUCCUUCUGCUCAAUCCACAUCCUUCGCUCCUCACUCUUGGAUGACACCCUGCUUAUUUGGUCAGUUAGGUUAGAAUUGGUGACCCGUGUUUGAGUUAAACAACUAUCCAGAUUUGAGAUUCUUGAAUUUAAGUUAUUUAAUUCCUUUUCAUAUGAUUUCUGUGGAAUUUUGAACGAAAUAAAAAGAGAUUGUACCUUCUUGAUCAAUUCAUCAAGUUCAUUGAUCUGCACACUGAGAGGUUUUGCUGUGAAGCAUAAGUCCUCUCGCUCCUUGGUGUCCUCAUUUCCACCAUCUGUAUUGUAUCCCCUCAUGUGAGAUACGUCAGUCACCAUCAGACACUUUCCACUGCUUUCACCACCUCUUGCGACAUACGCCUUUCCAUGUGAAGGCUUUCUCACCUCAUCAUCUUCUGAGUCGGUUGACCACACCUGUACGCCACCGAACUCGUCAUCCUCUGCCGAACCCUGUACAAUAAGAGCAUUCAUAGAAGGAUUAGUAGCAGCUUUCUUCCUCUUAAUCUCUUCCAGCUUUUUCAUCAGGACUGCCUCUUCAUCUUUCUCCUCAUCUUUCUCUGCCAUUUUCUUCAGAACACAAUCUUUGGCAUAAUGAUUCUUUCCUCCACAGUAAUAGCAGCUGACACCAGAAUCUCCUUCAACCUUCGCCUCUUUCUUUGGUUCCUCAGUCUUCGGCUCCUCCCUUACCUUUUCUGAACUGUAGCUUCCCUGCCAAUUUCGGUUCUUAUUGGUAGGAAACCUCUUCUUGAUGAACCUUUUUGGAUUGGACACCAUCAUAGCAUAAUCUUCUGAAGUAAGAUCGUAGUCCUCCAGGUUCAGAUCUUCAUCUUCUACUACAUUCUUGCUUUUGGACAGGAGUGCCAAGGACCCCAAACUUGAGACCACAUUCUUCUCUUGCAUGACAAUCUUUUCUUGGGAUUUUAGAAUCCCCACCAGUUUAGCCAAUGAAUAUGACUUGAACUGCUCAUGAGCUUUAACUGUAGAAACGACAGCUCUCCAUUCAGAUCUUAGGCCAUUCAAAAAGGUGACCUUCUGUUCAAUCAGCUUCCUUUCGAUAUCAUGUUUGAUCAUCUUGCUAAGAAGAUGAUUGAAGCGAUCAAACGUCUGUGUGACGGUCUCAUCAGAAUUUUGCUUGAAUUCUCCAAACUCAGACAAAAGCAACGUCUGAAUAGAGUGCUCUAAAUCUUCAUCUGUGGAAUAUAGCUCUCGCAACCUAUCCCAGAUUUCUUUAGCGGUACUGUAGGAACUCACCAACCUAAACGUGCCAGAUUGAAGAGCGAAUCGGAUCAGUCUCAAUGCUUUGAUGUUGCACUGAAACUUCUCCUUUUCGUCUUGAGCAACGUCUUUUACAUCUUUUAACAGAUCAUUAUAUUCUUUCUGAGUUUUAAUGAUCUUGGAUGUUCCUGAGUGAGCAAAUGGUCCAGACACAAUGGCUUCCCAAAUAAGAUACCCAUUAUCUUCAGAUCCGAUGACAUAGUCUUCAAAAUGAUGAGCCCAAACUUCGUAAUCCUGGGUGUAUAGAAUAGGAAUCUUCGUCGUUGAUCCAAUAUUGUUUGAGAUGUUGAUAGGAUUAGAUUGAGAAUCGUCCAUGCUUGAUCGUUUAACUUGUUUGAAAGAUCAGACUUGUAAUAUGUAAUAUUAGGGCAAACAAAUAAAUAAAGAGAUACGUCAAUUCUGGAGUGACGGCUCAAUAAAUAUCAGUUAAUGCGGAAUUACCCUAAUCGCUUCUUUCACAGAAGAGAUGUGUAUGAAUUACACAACCUCCUGCUCUGAUACCAAUUGAUGAGUUUAUAAAACUCUUUGAUCGAUUAGAUCUUUAAAACAGACGAAUAAAGAAAGCAAUAACAGUUAAACAAAAACACAAGUAUGGAUCUGAAAGAGUUGAAUGAUUCAAUUAACUCAAUCCUUAGCAGAGCUCGAUAAAGAACUUCUGCUGUCGAGGAUUCUAGGGUUACAGAAGAUAAGAACGUGUACGCUAUAAAAUCUCUAUCAAAACAUUACGUUCCAGAAUGCAUGCAAGCAUCUUUAUGUAAUAAACCCUAUACGAAACUCACGGAUGGACAGGCCCAUACCGGAGACAAAACUUGGACUAGCUAACGAGCCCAAAGACGCAACACUAAACUGGACCUAACAUGUUUCUUUUUUUAUUGUUUUUAUUUUCAGGUUAUGGAUGCUUGUGCUAAAGGAAACUUGGGUCAUUUUAUAAAUCACAACUAUCAACCAAAUUGUCGCACUGAAAAGGUUAACUUUAUGAAAUUCCUACUCUAAUAAACUAGUUUUAGGUUAAAUUUUGUAGAUCAUUCAGGUAAAUUUUGAAUUUGAAAGUCUAAGGUUUGAGCUAAAAAGUCUUAGCAUAUCCAUUCUUCUGCAAUGACAUUUGAAAAGUAAUUUCACAUGGAUGCACCUUGUGGUUUUGUAAUCUGACCAUGGAAAUUUGUGUAAUGUUUUCUAGUUUAGUGUAGACACUAAACCACUGGCUCAUGAAGGUCAAAAGGUGUCCACUAAUAGCACAAGAAAUUCAAAACUUAACCAAAGAUAAACAAGAACUCCAAGGAAAAUUUUCUAAGAAAUCUAGUUCAACAACCACUUGUCCACUUGUCCCCUGAAUUUGCAAAUAGUAAAAAUAAAUUUUCAUCAUUGUUUUUACUUUUUACUCACAGGAAAAAAGUAAAAACUAGAUUAGAUGUAUGACCAAUUGAGAAGUGAGUAUGAGUCGGUUAAACGGUCCUCCAUUCAACCUCCAAACAACUUCUUUCUCAAGGGGUGGUGAUUCUGAUCUGUUUGCUAGUCCUGCUAACAUGAUGGAUGAUAGAGAUCCCAAGAGGAGAGGUAAUCUCAUUUUGUUUAUCAAAAGUUAUCUAAAUAUGAUAGAUGCAUAUAUAGAUAUCCUCACUUUUUCAUAAUAUUAUCGUGAAAUAAAAAAAAGUACAUUGCUAUUAUAUAUAAAGGUUCAUUUACAUGGAAUUGCCCAAAAAAUGUUAGUUCACUUAUUUUCUACAGAUUGGUCGGUUUACACCAUUGACACUCCAGGACCUUAGGGAGAUAUAUGACCAGGAACCACAAGACAAAGCAAUUCUAACUUCGGUAGUCCCUUCGACAUCCCUAAUAGCCCACUUGUAAAACAUUCUGUAAUUCCAGUAGAAAACAGAAGAACUAUUACCCGCCAGAUGUUUGGUGGCGGCGACGGUGGCGGUGGCGGUGGUGGUGGUGGUGAUGGUGGUGGUGGUAGUAGAGCGGGAAAUUCUUCUAACAUUGAGAAAUAUGAUAUUCUCACCAAUGAAAAGGAUUCAACUCUCUUGUACCCGACCUCAAUUGUUUACAUAAUGUCACACCCCCAAACCGGAGCGGCGGAAACGUACGGGGGUGGAUGACUUCAUGUUAUUUAUCACAACACAUGCAUCAUAGUAAUCAAAUUACAACAACCAUUGAAUUAAUAAAGUAUAAGUUUGACAUAUGUAUUCAGUCAUUGUAUAUAUGACAUCAAAAGUUAUAUAACAAAAGAUAGAAGACAUGACUCUAUACUGCUCCGUCUUCUCAAAAUCCCGGGGAUUUACCUGUCUACUGGUUCCCUGAGAAUACUAGUGUUUUGAAAAGAGAGUAUCAACAUUUAAGUUGGUGAGGGCAUAAGUAUUUAUGUUUAGAAGUUUGUUUUGAAUUAGUGUCUAAGUCCAUAACUAAAAUUGGUAUGUACUUGACCCGACUCGGCAUGGUCCAUUUAGGUUGCAUGGCAUCGGAACAUUUGGAUAGACCGUUUAUGAGAAGAAGACAUUUGUGACAUAUUAAUAUAUUAUAAGCUCUAAUAUAUUAAUAUGAGAUCAUGUUAUUUAAUUAGUAUUUAUCAAAAAUUAAUUUAGACUUAAUUUAGUGAUCAAAAGAGACUAAUUAAAUAUAUGAGAAUUGAUUGCGUAAAUCAUUCAUUCUUAUAUAUAUGGGCUUAUGAUCCAUGAUUCCUUAUGUUGGGUUUAACCCAUGUGGUGACCCAUGGAUACUCCGUGGAGGUUAAAAUCCAUGGAGCAUAAGGAAUGGGUAAAGUCAUGGGUUACUUGGUGUAACCCUAAUGUACACACUAUAUAAAGACCCCAUUUGUUGGAGAAAUCGACACUGGUGCAUAAAAUGGAGGGCAAGCCAAUUUCCAUGUCUCAUGUCUUCUUCUCAUGGUUAUUCCAAGUGUUAAUGAUGUUGUGUGAACCAUUAUAGGUGUCACACUUGGGGCACUAGGCUCUCGAGCUUCAUGGAGUCAAGCUACAUCAACAAGGUAUGUAUUCUAUCUAUGUUAUUACCCAAGUAUCAUCAAGAUUGUAUGCUAGUUAGGGUAAUACCUUGGAAUAUUCAUAUUUGCAUUUAUAAUAGAGAAAACAUAGAUCCAAGGUAUUUAGGGUUGCAUGUACACUUAGGAGUGUUAGAAUGCUCAUAACCUAACAGUGGUAUCAGAGCCUAGGCUUGUUUUCUUAUAUAAAAAUCAAAGUUAUCUUGCUGUCUGGACAAUGGACUCACCGAGUUCAGUCAUGGACUCGAUGAGUCCAAGGUAAAAUGCAACCAACUCAUCGAGUUGGUUCAUGCACUCGGCGAGUUCGACCCCUUGACAACAUAUUUUCGAGUUUUGGUGCUGGAAUUGGUCUAGAAUCAUUAUCUUAAACUUUUUUGGACUUAUAAAAACUAUUUUUUGAUAUGUUAAUGAUUAUGUAAACCAAUUUCAGAGUUGUUAUCAAAAUUUCAAGUUUUAUAUGGUUAAUUUUAUGAUUCUUGAAAUUGUUGACAUACAUGUUCUUGAACUUAUGAGCUUAGAUGAUCAUAGGAAUUAUUUGUAACCUUCUUGGUAGUUUAAUUCUUGAUCAUUAUGUGUUUUAAUGGAGUCCAUAACUUGUUCUCAAGUUAUGGAUAACCAAAAGUCACAAGUCAUUAAAUCCAUUAAAAGAACACAAUGGUUACAUAAGACGAAUAGUCACUCAUUUUAAUAAGCCUUUAACUCAUAAGUUAUGAGAAAUGAAAAGUUUUGGAAGUUUACAAAACUUGCCCUCAAGUUUUGGAACAAGUAAAGUCACAAUUAAAACUUUAGUUCCAAUCCCUAGAAUUUUAAAAAGUUAAAAUUCAACACUUAUACUUUAUAAUAUUAUAAGUUUAAUAACAUUUAUAUAUGUAUAAGAACAAAAAUUCGUCUUACCAUUAGUAUGCCUCAUUCAUGUAGCCGGUCUAUAAGGGGGGUAUAAGGUUAGUGCCUAUAAAAUGGCAGUUUAAUAAGUGUCGACUCUUACUCACCGCUUCCUUGACCGGUGGAGGGUCGUUAGCCGAACGGGUAGGAUAAGGACUAUAAUUCUCCCUUCAUUAAAAGUAUUAAUGAUAAAUACUAAGUAACUAAAUGUUUAUAAAUUCCCAAUCUUAGUUACCUAGGAAAAUGUGAAUAAGGUGCUAAUCCAUGAAAUUACACUUUGCAUUUUGUUUAAGCCGUUAGUGGAGCGUGUGUGGUUAACCGGCCCACUAACCUGGAUUUAACAAGGUAGGCAAAGGGUAACUUAAUAUUUAUCAUAGUAUCGGUGGAGCGUGUGUGGUUAACCGGAACAUCGAUUUAGGGGUAAAUAUUAAGGGUACCAAGUAUAUUUGCAUGGUUACUUCACACCUUGUUUUGUGAUCCUCAGCAUCAUAGUCACAAAACCUGAAGGGCACACUCGAGAUUGAAACAUGCUACUGAAAAGUUCAAUGAAUUUCAAAAUAAUCUAGGACUUUCAAAACCAAUUAAAACCUAAUAAUACAUUUCGUUUAUCUUGGUGGAAAUUGGUGAAUCGUCAUUCACCUACCUUCAAGUAUUUUAUAGCUUGGAUUACGGUAUCCCUCUUCCAAGUUAUAAAAUAGUUUGUUGGGUCCUAGCCUUAAUAUUUCAUAUUGGGUGUCAUAUUAAGGACUUANUACUUGAAUUUCUCCCAUUGUUGAUGUCUGGUUUAGACAACAAUGAUCUUCCCAAAUCAAGCUUUCCUAAUGAAUACGACUUCCCGAGUUUGGCUCAUGGAAGUCAUACUUCUCUUCCUCCACCUCCUCCAAUUAUUCUCCCUGACCCACAAGUUUAAGGACUUGAAAAGUUCAAGAUCACUCAAUCCCUACUCACAAUAAAACAUAAAAUUGGAAGUUCUUUGUGCACUCAUGUUUUAGGACUCAAUUCACACAGUGACAUGUUGUGAAUGUUGGGUGUCGUUGUCCCAAGGAAGUUGGCUAUUGACUGGGUCUUUCAGUCACUUCCUGAGUCAUAUAGAAAGACUACUAUUUGACAGAUCACGACAUGACCCUAAUGGAUCUUUCUUAUUUGAUUAGUGCUGAUGAAUCAGAAAUGAUUUGGUGCAAUAGUCAAGAAAAUAUGGAUGAAAGGUCUAUUUCUCAAACCUUCCAUGGACAUGGACAAUGGUGACAUUGGAAGUUCAGAAAAACUUUCUCUUCCCAAUGGAAAGGGAUCGGCCUUGGUCAACCCGGUUGACCGGAAGGUAAAGAGAAAGUCUAAGUCUGGAAUAGCCUAUGUACCAUUCCUAAAGAGUCUAUAUGUUCUCAGUGUAAAGAAAAGGGGCAUUGGAAGCGAAGCUGCCCAAGCUACCUGAAAGAAAGAAGAAUCAAAAGUUUGACUCUGCUUUAGGUAAGUCCACUAUCUAACUCUGUUAAGUUCCCAGUUGAUGAUUCUUAAUACCAAAAUGUGACUUGGUUGCAUUUGAUAUUUAGCAGGAUCAAACAAAGGGAAGGAAACUUAAAGAAAGAGUAUGAUGAAUUUGAUCGUGAAGAUAGAUUUAUUUCGCUUUGUUGAAGAUUGAAUUCCUGAGCUACUUCUUAGGAGUUAUGAUAGAUUGCUAGGAAACGUGUAAUAGCAUAGUUUUCAUUUCAAGUUGCAUUGUAAGGAAAAAGUUUUUUCUGCAUUUUAAAAUAAAUAAAAGUUUGUUUUACUUUAUUUUAUCUCCUUACAAUGGCAUUCAUGAGAACUUGAUGUUUGUAUGUUUAUAGCAAUAUUGGAAAUAUGAAUUUGAUUCUUUCAUUUGUGGUAGUGUCUAAAUUUACCAAAUAAGGAAAGAUUCUCAUCACCCAAGUUUUAAUUGGACCGAAACUUGGAAUCAUACAAGGUGUUUAGUGUGAUGUAUGAGAAUUUUCAACUUUGGAAAAUUAAGACUAGUUCCGUGUUCACAUGUAUAUGUGACUCAAGAGAAGGACUAAGGGAUCAAGUACACAUUCUUGUGCACUAGCCAAAGUUCACCACAAAAGAUGGAUAAGACUAUUCGUCAUGAUUUACUAAGGUUUAGUAAAUAUGAUUAUACUUACAAGCUUAAGUAUAAUUCUGAGACAUUGGAAAAGUUUCAAUGUAUGACAGAACGAAUAAGAAGAAUCAAAUUAGGCAAAAGGAUAAAAGUUUUUCAAAUUUGAAAAGAUGGGAGAGUACUAAGAUCAUCUUAAUGAUUUUGAGACCUAAUCACAAUUCAUCCUCUAAGUGCAUUCUGAUAGUUAAGAAGAGGAGUUAUGAAUUUUUGAAGUGGUUAAAUCAAGAAGAUGAUUCAUACUUCGUUCCAAAAAGAAUUCUUAGAGUUAUACUCUAAUAUUGUAACUUGAGUGAGAUGUCUUAAAGAAGGUUUAAAACACUUGUCAAAUGUAAGAGUAAAAGUUUUCUACUCUUGUACAUUUGAAAUUGGUAAGUUGUGAUGUUUUGGAUAAAACAAAGACCAACUUAGGCCAAUUGUGUGAAGUGUUUGUCUUGAUUAAGAAUCCACACUACAUCUUAAAUAUUUGGCAAGAAAGUCUUAUAGGUCAAGAAGACAGUGGGAGUCUAAAAGAUCUUGAUAUAGUUUCAAGAACUAAUCAAGAAUAAAAACCUAUAUUUCAUCACUAGCACACCACUAGAGGUUUAUAACCUAUCGUGUUGACAUUUAUGUGCCCAUUCCAGUUAAGUUGGCUAUACAUUUGAGUUCUACAUGUUCUCAAUUAUUUGCAUAGCUACUUGGAAGCAAUGGCAGGCCCUUGAGCUGCCAGGUGGCAAGAAGUUAAGAUUGAAUUCAAUCCAUAUGGUUUUGGAUUUGUCAUUAUCUUUGUCUUGUGAUUAUGGUUUGACAAAUUCAUAUGGGUAGGAACUCAUACACCAUAUAAAUCUAAGGGUCAUAAGGUUUCUCUCCGAUUCAUGAAAAUGAUGGUGAGGAAAUACUUCCACCAAGUAGAUUUGAAGCAGAUAGCAAAGAUCUAAACAAUUGAUACUACGAUUACUACAUCCCUUUUCAUAGUUCUAAAAUUGUUUAGACACACAUGUGUGUUAUCUAAGGAAAGGUGUAUGAGUUUGAUAAAGUUUUAUCAAAGCAUCUCGUAUUAGAAUUCUGAACUUUGGUAAGAAAGUCAAUAAAGUAUUGUUUUCUAGAAGUCCAGCUGAUUUCUGAGUAUAUGUCAAAGCUAGUGGGAGCAUAAGUGUUAUGCUAAUAAUCAUCAUGUUAGUGGGAGCAUGAUAAUUAUGAUAAGUAUUGCAAGUUAGCAAUGUUAAUUAUAGAAAACAAAAGUUUCAAUUGGGAAAAAGUUGUUUUGCUAUAAUUAAGGGAGAGGAAAUUAUGCUUCAUCUCAAAUCUAUAAGCUUAGAUCGUGAGGUUUUAAUCAUUUAGUCAAGGAUAUAUAUGAAUUUCAUGUUGGAAUGGCUCAACAUAAGGAAAUUCUGUAUAUGGGUCCAUUAUUUGCGUUCUAAAAUUCGAUUAUGAUUACGGCAUCCCUUUUCAUAAUCUGAAUUAUGAGAACUUGGCAAAUUGAAAUGGAAAUAUUAUAGCAAAAGACUGGUUUAGUCUUUAUGUAAGACAUCAUGAAUCGUGUCCCAUAUGCUUCGGAUAUAGGAUCGAUUACAUGUGCUAUAUUCAUCCGUUCUAAAAUUUUCCAAAUGCCUGGGGCAUUAAGAAGGGAAAAGGUUUAGAACUGGAUAUGACUAAAAGGAUUAAACAAUUGUCGAGGACAAUCUAAGGUUUACCAAAGAUUGGUUGCUCAAGGACAAUUGGAAGUAUAGUGAUAAUUCUGGAAGGACCAUAUUGACANAAAUCAAACUGAAGCCACCAUUACAUGUUUUAGACCACAAAUCAGUUAAGAUUCAUGGCUAGAAGUGAGUUCACGGCCAAGGGAGUUCUUGGGCCGUGAACUCCAUUUUUAGGUGCCAAAACCCCCUAAAAACCUUCCUUAAGCCAAGAGACUAAUUUGGGCAUGUAACUAAAUGAGUUUAUGAUUAGCUAACACACUUAGAACACCAAGAGUAAGGUGUUCACGGACCAAAAGGUUCUAGGGCCGUGAACUCCAUAAAAUGGUUCCAAAUGGUGCCAUAAACUCUUCUAAAGCCUAGUACAAAAGCCUAGUUUAGUUCCUAGUUAAUUUAGGGACAUGAAAACACCAUAAACAUCCUCCCAAGGGAGAUUACAGCCGUAAUCUCCAAGGGAAUAUGGUCCCAGGGCCGUAAACUCCUAAAAGGAGUUAUAUUAUGCCCUAAACUCUUCCAUAGACCAAGCCAUUAAGUAGAAAUGCUUAUUAGGGCCUUAUAGAGCAUCAAACAUCAAAUGGACACAUAGGUAUGAGUUCACAGCCGUAAACUCAUGAUUUUACGACCGUAAACUCAUUUGGUAGUGUCAUUAGGGUCGUGAACUCCCUUAUGGAGUUUUUCUUGAGCCCUACACACAAUAGCUUCCCCUACAAACACUUAGAUGCAAUCCUAGAGGCUAAUAACACUUGAUAAAGGUGUUUAGCAUGUCCUAGGGUAUCUUGACUUCUUUAUUAAUUGUUUAUAGACUAAUUUGUUACAUAUAUGUGAAAUUAUAUGUUAACUAGGAUCAUAGAGGGUGUUCAAGACUUCACUUGACACCUAGCGGUCCUACCUGUUCAGUUCAUCCGCAUCACCCACAAUAGGUGAGUUCAUACCCAUUAAUCAAUCUUUUAACUAUUUUUAAAUGUUUUAGGGGGGGGGGGGGGUACAAGNGAUACAAGUAGAAUCAUGCUACUUAUUAUAUCAAUCACAUGUGAUUAAUAAGCAGCAUUCAAAUGAUUUACUACUCAUUAGCCGUUUUACCAAACAGUUUCCUUCAAAUGAUUUUCAUAAACACUUUAUAUGUUUAAAACUCCUUAUUACACUGUACAUUUUACUCCGUAUAUUACAUUUCAAACUUAUUUACAAUUCUAUUUCAAACAAAUGUUUAAAACUCCUCGAUUUGGAUGUGGUCUGAUAGGAUAUCGAGUACCCGUCCGAAGGUCGUUUAAAUAUUAGUUAUAUAUCAUGUGUACAUAUAUAGUCAUAAAAGGUCUUUCUAGUUCAUCCAAUGCCCUUGGAUAGCAAGGGUAUACAUCCAUGUUCAUAUGUACCAGUUAUAUUACUAGUAAGCUACCAUAUGGGUAGUUUAGGAAG